ACCCGCGGCAAGACGGAAAGACCCCGUGAACCUUUACUAUAGCUUGACACUGAACAUUGAGCCUUGAUGUGUAGGAUAGGUGGGAGGCUUUGAAGCGUGGACGCCAGUCUGCGUGGAGCCGACCUUGAAAUACCACCCUUUAAUGUUUGAUGUUCUAACGUGGAUCCGUAAUCCGGGUUGCGGACAGUGUCUGGUGGGUAGUUUGACUGGGGCGGUCUCCUCCUAAAGAGUAACGGAGGAGCACGAAGGUUGGCUAAUCCUGGUCGGACAUCAGGAGGUUAGUGCAAUGGCAUAAGCCAGCUUGACUGCGAGCGUGACGGCGCGAGCAGGUGCGAAAGCAGGUCAUAGUGAUCCGGUGGUUCUGAAUGGAAGGGCCAUCGCUCAACGGAUAAAAGGUACUCCGGGGAUAACAGGCUGAUACCGCCCAAGAGUUCAUAUCGACGGCGGUGUUUGGCACCUCGAUGUCGGCUCAUCACAUCCUGGGGCUGAAGUAGGUCCCAAGGGUAUGGCUGUUCGCCAUUUAAAGUGGUACGCGAGCUGGGUUUAGAACGUCGUGAGACAGUUCGGUCCCUAUCUGCCGUGGGCGCUGGAGAACUGAGGGGGGCUGCUCCUAGUACGAGAGGACCGGAGUGGACGCAUCACUGGUGUUCGGGUUGUCAUGCCAAUGGCACUGCCCGGUAGCUAAAUGCGGAAGAGAUAAGUGCUGAAAGCAUCUAAGCACGAAACUUGCCCCGAGAUGAGUUCUCCCUGAGACUUAGAGUCUCCUGAAGGAACGUUGAAGACGACGACGUUGAUAGGCCGGGUGUGUAAGCGCAGCGAUGCGUUGAGCUAACCGGUACUAAUGAACCGUGAGGCUUAACCUU
RNAcentral lists this ribosomal RNA (863 nucleotides) under Salmonella enterica subsp. enterica serovar Infantis. RNAcentral's name for it is "partial 23S ribosomal RNA". It matches the Rfam family "Bacterial large subunit ribosomal RNA", at positions 2068 to 2925 of the family's 2925-position model. The record is from RNAcentral. Lineage: Bacteria; Pseudomonadati; Pseudomonadota; Gammaproteobacteria; Enterobacterales; Enterobacteriaceae.